This 257-nucleotide ribosomal RNA is filed under the name uncultured Scutellospora. RNAcentral describes it as "partial 18S ribosomal RNA". It matches the Rfam family "Eukaryotic small subunit ribosomal RNA", at positions 624 to 886 of the family's 1831-position model. Lineage: Eukaryota; Fungi; Glomeromycota; Glomeromycetes; Diversisporales; Gigasporaceae. The record is from RNAcentral.
AAGCUCGUAGUUGAAUUUCGGGGUUCUACCGUUGGUCGGGCUAACCAGUCUGUACUAGCGUGUAGAAUCCCUACCUUCUGGGGAACCAUCAUGUUAUUAAUUUAGCGUGGUGGGAAACCAGGACCUUUACCUUGAAAAAAUUAGAGUGUUCAAAGCAGGCUUACGUCUGAAUACAUUAGCAUGGAAUAGUAAAAUAGGACGGUGGUCCUGUUUUGUUGGUUUCUGAAUCACCGUAAUGAUUAAUAGGGAUAGUUGGG